CCCGCCGGCGACCGGCGCACGGGUGAGUAACACGUAUGCGACCUGGCCGCCACAGGGGGAUAACCCGCGGAAACGCGGCCUAAUACCCCGUGACGCCACCGGAGGGCAUCCUCCGGUGGCCAAAGGAGCGAUCCGGUGGCGGAUGGGCAUGCGGCGCAUUAGCUAGACGGCGGGGUGACGGCCCACCGUGGCGACGAUGCGUAGGGGUUCUGAGAGGAGGGCCCCCCACACUGGGACUGAGACACGGCCCAGACUCCUACGGGAGGCAGCAG
Molecule: ribosomal RNA, 272 nt
Filed under: uncultured bacterium
Lineage: Bacteria
Description: partial 16S ribosomal RNA
Rfam family: Bacterial small subunit ribosomal RNA
Source: RNAcentral